This 319-nucleotide ribosomal RNA is filed under the name uncultured bacterium. RNAcentral describes it as "bacterial SSU rRNA". It matches the Rfam family "Bacterial small subunit ribosomal RNA", at positions 28 to 334 of the family's 1533-position model. The record is from RNAcentral.
GAUGAACGCUGGCGGCGUGCCUAACACAUGCAAGUCGAACGGGACUUAUUGAGACGAUUUCGGUCUGAUCAUUAAGUUUAGUGGCGGACGGGUGAGUAACGCGUGGACAACCUGCCUUUCACAGGGGGAUAGCAGCUGGAAACGGCUGGUAAUACCGCAUACGCGAGAGAUGCCGCAUGACAUCACUCGGAAAGACUUAUCGGUGAAAGAUGGAUCCGCGUCUGAUUAGCCAGUUGGCGGGGUAACGGCCCACCAAAGCGACGAUCAGUAGCCGGCCUGAGAGGGCGGACGGCCACAUUGGGACUGAGACACGGCCCAG